GUUCUUUGAAACCAGCCCUAAUACACCUAUAUUAACGUUGCUGGAAUUCCAGCUAUGGCGAUAAACGUGCUGUGAAAUAAGCAGAGCGGACCCGGGGGCGGUACCCGGCGCCUCCACCAUUUUAGCCCGCACUACCGGCUACAAUAGCUGGCAAGUUUGUAUUUGGGCUGAAAGAUUGGGGGCGAAAUAGGAUCGACGCAUGUGGUAAAGGCAGUAUUUUCGCUCGGUAUGGUACCCACCGUUAUCGGGCCAUGUAGUAGUUGCAAAUGACAACACUGCUCCGGUAGCAAUCGCAGCUUAGUGCAGCGAGAGUAACCGAUCUUAAGUCCAGACCGAUUGAGCUCGAUCUGGCGGGGUUUGGAGCGCACCUGGCAACAGAAGCGUUCCGCU
This 390-nucleotide transfer-messenger RNA is filed under the name Puniceispirillum sp. (SeqCode). It matches the Rfam family "Alphaproteobacteria transfer-messenger RNA". Rfam says of the family: Bacterial tmRNA, also known as 10Sa RNA or SsrA, is named for its dual tRNA and mRNA-like properties. Its role is to liberate the mRNA from a stalled ribosome. To accomplish this part of the tmRNA is used as a reading frame that ends in a translation stop signal. Lineage: Bacteria; Pseudomonadati; Pseudomonadota; Alphaproteobacteria; Puniceispirillales (SeqCode); Puniceispirillaceae (SeqCode). The record is from RNAcentral.